This 682-nucleotide ribosomal RNA is filed under the name uncultured bacterium. RNAcentral's name for it is "bacterial SSU rRNA". It matches the Rfam family "Bacterial small subunit ribosomal RNA", at positions 32 to 715 of the family's 1533-position model. The record is from RNAcentral.
AACGCUAGCUACAGGCUUAACACAUGCAAGUCGAACGGGGAACGGAUUCGUCCGUUCCCAGUGGCAAACGGGUGAGUAACGCGUAUCCAACCUGCCCACCACUUGGGGAUAACCUUGCGAAAGUAAGACUAAUACCCGAUGAUAUCUCUAUAAGACAUCUGAAAGGGAUUAAAGAUUUAUCGGUGAUGGAUGGGGAUGCGUCUGAUUAGCUUGUUGGCGGGGUAACGGCCCACCAAGGCGACGAUCAGUAGGGGUUCUGAGAGGAAGGUCCCCCACAUUGGAACUGAGACACGGUCCAAACUCCUACGGGAGGCAGCAGUGAGGAAUAUUGGUCAAUGGGCGAGAGCCUGAACCAGCCAAGUAGCGUGCAGGAUGACGGCCCUAUGGGUUGUAAACUGCUUUUAUAAGGGAAUAAAGUGAGUCUCGUGAGACUUUUUGCAUGUACCUUAUGAAUAAGGACCGGCUAAUUCCGUGCCAGCAGCCGCGGUAAUACGGAAGGUCCGGGCGUUAUCCGGAUUUAUUGGGUUUAAAGGGAGCGUAGGCCGGAGAUUAAGCGUGUUGUGAAAUGUAGGCGCUCAACGUCUGCACUGCAGCGCGAACUGGUUUCCUUGAGUACGCACAAAGUGGGCGGAAUUCGUGGUGUAGCGGUGAAAUGCUUAGAUAUCACGAAGAACUCCGAUUG